RNAcentral lists this unclassified non-coding RNA (200 nucleotides) under soil metagenome. RNAcentral describes it as "partial contains internal transcribed spacer 2 and large subunit ribosomal RNA". The record is from RNAcentral.
CACUGGCUUGCUUUAAAUAGAUUAGCUGGGCGCAUUUACAAGUUAAGUCUCACAAGCGUAAUAAGUCUUAUUUCGUUUGGUUUUCGAUUUCUCUCUGCAAAGAGGGGAAAAGAAGGGGCCUGCUUUAAAUCGCUUGCUUCUGAGCAUACAAUCUUUUUUCAUCAGACCUCAAAUCAGGUAGGACUACCCGCUGAACUUAA